Molecule: ribosomal RNA, 490 nt
Filed under: uncultured bacterium
Lineage: Bacteria
Description: partial 16S ribosomal RNA
Rfam family: Bacterial small subunit ribosomal RNA
Source: RNAcentral
AGUGAACGCUGGCGGUAGGCCUAACACAUGCAAGUCGAACGGCAGCACAGGAGAGCUUGCUCUCUGGGUGGCGCGUGGCGGACGGGUGAGGAAUACAUAGGAAUCUUCAUAGUCGUGGGGGAUAACGUAGGGAAACUUACGCUAAUACCGCAUACGACCUUCGGGUGAAAGAGGGGGAUCGCAAGACCUCUCGCGCUAGGAUGUGCCGAUGUCGGAUUAGCUAGUUGGCGGUGUAAUGACCCACCAAGGCGACGAUCCGUAGCUGAUCUGAGAGGAUGAGCAGCCACACUGAAACUGAAACACGGUCCAGACUCCUACGAGUAGCAGCAGUGGGGAAUAUUGGACAAUGGGCGCAAGCCUGAUCCAGCCAUACCGCGUAGGUGAAGAAGGCCUUCGGGUUGUAAAGCCCUUUUGUUGGGAAAGAAAUAAUUCAGGCUAAUACCCUGGGAGGAUGACGGUACCCAAAGAAUAAGCACCGGCUAACUGCGUG